RNAcentral lists this long non-coding RNA (659 nucleotides) under Numida meleagris (helmeted guineafowl). RNAcentral's name for it is "lncRNA (ENSNMEG00000014477.1)". Lineage: Eukaryota; Metazoa; Chordata; Aves; Galliformes; Numididae. The record is from RNAcentral.
UAGAACAGCAGCUGGUUAGAUGGGUCCGCACAGUAAUGAGGGCUAAGAAGAUCUUGCGCUCUCGGUUGAACUUCUGUUGGCCUUUCUUAUCAUAUUACCUCAUCUCCUAGCUGCAGGGACCGGCAAUCUUUCAAGGAGCUCAUCCCACUUACGCAGAGGAAGAAAAAUGGACUGUAAAAGGAGCCCAUGGGCAAGAGGCUCUAGAAGGGAGAGAAGAGCUUUUCAAUGGCGUCUGUUUGCUCCUGCCGACCAGCCUAACUUACUUCUGCCUUUAACUGGCUGAAGGAGAAGAGCUUACAGGGUGUUUGGUUCAGAGGGGGCUGUGAGGCCUCCAGAUGCUUUGAAAGGCCCCCCUGGCUCACCCUGGGGCUGGAGGAAGGCAGACUUUGACGGAGAGGAGAUCCAGGGAGUUGGUAAGCGUGCCUAGUCCUCUGGGCACUGGUCUUUUUAAAACUCUUUUGAAAAUUGUUCUGAAUUGUUCUGUCUUCAGAAAUCGUGAAUUUCUCUUGCAGCACAGGUUUUUCCCUCUCACGUUGGCCUCAUGGUCUCUUUUUAUACUAGGUCUGAUUGGUAGAGUGUAGAGAUUCCUGCUGUUGGGAAUUUCAGGAAGGUGACUAAAGCAUAAAUAAAAUGAAUGUUGGGCUCUUUCCUGAAUGUCA